RNA transcript from Anolis carolinensis (green anole), 16150 nucleotides. RefSeq lists it as uncharacterized. The transcript is spliced from 3 exons. NCBI's taxonomy places the organism in Eukaryota, Metazoa, Chordata, Lepidosauria, Squamata, Anolidae. The record is from RefSeq and is a predicted model, not a curated record.
GAGCUCUUGCCAGAAGCAGGAGCUUGCUUUUCCGGACCGGAGCGAAUCGGAGCCCUGCUUUUCGAGGGGCCCAGCCAAGGAGUCUUGCCUCCUCGGGGCUUCAGCAGUCUGGCUGGUUUGGGGCAAAGUUUCCCGGGCAAAAAACAAGGCCGGUGAGUUAUGUGGGCAAAGAAGCCUCAUGAGGCCUCGCCUCCUCGUAAGGCCUUCCAGGAGACUUCACCAGGAAGGCGUUUGGUGGUUCGGGGAGCAGAGAAGCGGCAUUUCUCUGCUCCGCAAACCCCAAAUGCCUUCGUUCUCACUCCCCAAUCUGCCAAACGCCUUCUUAGCGAAGCCUCCAGGACAGCCUCGCAAGGCCUCUUCGCCCCCAUAACUCAAGCUGCCUCCUCCUCCUCCUCCUCCUGCACUUGCUGCAGGGAAACUCAGCCUUCGGCUUCUCCCCUUGGGCUGCUGCUGCAUCUGCCAUCGCAGGGAAGGACCUUUGCCAAUGGCCAGCCUGCCGGUUGUAGACCUGGCUAGGGCCCCACGGGUCCGGAGCCAGCCAUGGCCAAAGCUGGGCAAUGGAUCCAGGAAGGCAAGGGGCACGCAGGUCAGCUGCACUAGCUUCCUGUUCUCGCUGUGUUCCUGUUCUUGCCGCUGACCUGCACACCCCCACCUCCUCCCAGGCCUGCAACCUCUCACCAGCCUCACCGGCCUUGGUGGCCUCUUGCCUGGCCACAAUGCCUGCCCACAAUGCCUGCUUCCCCACCACCUUCGCCUUCGUCUUCCCCUUCCUCCCUGAAGGUGAAACGGCAGCACUGGACCAUGGUGCACUUCUCCGUCCUCUCCAAAAAAGGCAGUCUCAAGCCUGCUGCACUGGAGCUGGCUGAGAACACCCCCAACGCCCGCUACGUGCCUUUCUUGCUCUCGGCGCCCAGCAGGGGAGGAGGUGAAGAGGCGGCGGUGGCACAGGUGGUGAUGAACACUGACUUCCCGCACCCCUUGCUCAACCUGGACCCACACGUCUCCAUCUACAGCACCCGGCGCCCACUCCUCAGCCGUAGCCACAUCCAAGGGUGGGUCUACAACUUCCUCAAGAGACUCACCGGGUGGAAGUGCUUCGUCUACCACUUGUGACACCCCUGGCUGCGAGAGCACUGGAAAACAAUACACUGAGGCCAAUAAACAAUCUAAUAUCUUUAUUAAAGAAUUAAAGAAAUAAAACAAAAACAAGCAGAAGGUAAAGUUCAUCAAUAGACCUUUUAGGAAAGGUAAAUAUAGUCCAGUAAUAUAUUGUCCAAUGUCCAAUAUUAGAGUUUAAAGUUUGAAAUCCACAAAACUGAAACGCACUCAAACUUCCAAGCAGUUUGAGUGGGGAAAACAUCCAAGUCUUUUGCUAGAGUUCCAAAGCAAGUCCAAGGCAAGGAAUUGAAGACAAGACUGGAUUCACGGCACGACAAGGCAAGGCUGAAAUCACGGCAAGGCAAGGCAAGGAAACACGGCUAGGCAAGGCACGGCUAGGCUGGAAGGUAGUGGAUCCAAACGUGGUCCACACUUGGCUGGAAGUGAAGUUGAUCCUUCAACUGACACGUUGACUCCACGCUGGCUAGCCAGCGCACAGAACUUUUAAGGAACUUCAAAUCUUUCCACAGAGCAGGUGUCCAAAUGAACAACAUCUUCAACCAGAUGCGAUCCUCCCUGAGAAUUCUCAGGGGAAAACAGGUUAAUCAGCAGAUUCUCUAGCUGCUAAUCGCGUGCUCCUUCUUCUGCCAGCUUUCUCAAACCUACUAGUUUUCCAAAACAUCAGUCUAUCAAAGGGAGGGGAACUGGUGGGAGAAGGCUCCGUUUCAAGGGCCUUUUUAAUGAGCUGUGGGCUAGAAUUGUCAAUAGGAAGCAUCUGGAAAGGGGCAGAAUCUUGCUGAAUCGGCACAAAGCCCAUUUCCUCGUCACUUUGGUCCAUAAUGGAGGCAGGAUCAUGGCCCAAGGGUUCAGGGGACAUCACACCACUUCACCGUGUGUGUCAGCAGGGAAAAGGGGGUGGGGAGCCCUUUGGAGUCAGAAUAGGAAGGAUGUUGUGAGGUCUGUUGGAAGCUAGGUAAGUGGGGUUUAUAUAUCUGUGCAAAGUCCAGGGUUGAGAAAGAGCUCUUGUCUGUUUGAGGCUAGUGUGAAUAUUGCAAUUGGCCAGCUUGAUUAGCAUUUAAUGGCCUUGCAGAUUCAAAGCCUGGCUGCUUCCUCCCUGGGGGCAUCCUUGGUUGGGAGGUGUUAGCUGGCUCUGAUUGUUUCCUGUCUGAAUUUCCCCUGUUUUCAGAGUGUUGUUCUUUAUUUACUGUCUUGAUUUUAGAGUUUUUUUUUUAAUACCGGGGGCCAGAUUCCCUUUCGGUGUCCUUUUAAUUCCUAUGGAUUCCUAAGGACCCUUAGGGCUCUUCCACACAGCCAUAUAAUCCAGAAUAUCAAAACAGAAUAACUCACAAUAUCUGCUUUGAACUGGGUUAUCUGAGUCCACACUGCCCUAUAUCCCAGUUCAAUGUUUGGUGUUAAAUUCGCAAAAAUAGUAAUUCCUACAUAACAUUACCAUGUAUUGAACUGCUUUUUCUGUUGAUUUAUUGUAAAACAUGAUGUUUUGGUGCUUAAUUUGUAAAAUCAUAAUGUAAUUUGAUGUUUAAUAGGCUUUUCCUUAAUCCCUCCUUAUUAUCCAACAUUUUUGCUUAUCCAAUGCUUUUAUUUUUCAGUGAUUGUUUUUUUUUGGGGGGGGGGACCAAAAUUCUGUUUGCUUACACUUUAAAAUUACCUAGGGCCGGCCCUGCCCGUUACUGUGGGUAUUGACCAUAAGGUGCAGUCCUUCCCCCAUGUGAUUCUGUCCUAUUCUGUAUGGAUUCCUUAUGCAGCAAAGGCUAAGACUGGUAGUGCUUCCUUCCAUUACCUGUUCAUUUAAAAAUGGGUGAGAUGAUAUAUAACAAUGUCCAUGUGUGCUGAGAUGCUCUUUGCACUGCUGACAGCUAUAAGAAAAUACAGAAGAAGAGGUUUCUAAGGAGCAGGCAUAACAUGGACAAGAUCUUAGUUCAUAUUAAGAUUUUUUUUCUUUUUCACUAUAUCGCAGAUUUGAACAUUAUUGCCACUUGACCUUGAGACAGUAGGUGCUUUGUUGCUCAACAUUUCUUAGUUAAGAGGCAUUGGCUUCUUCAGUCCAUUUCCCUGUCCUGAUGUCAUUUCAUAAACGAUAGAGGCAUGUCCUCUAUGUACUGUAACUACAGUCAAGGUGGAGAACUACUCUGUUGAAGUUCUUCAUCAGCUGUACCAGAUAUUAAUUGCUCAGAUUCAUGGUCGGGUGAAGUUAUCAUCAUCUGGAACCAGAAAGCUUUGUAAAGAAUCUGAUUUUUUCCAUCAGACUCUUCAGAUUCUAUGAAGUAAGUUAUUAUAACAUGGCUGAAUAGGCAAGUAUUCCGACCCAGACCUUUAAGAAUCAAGCAUUCAAAGAGAGCCGGUGUAGAAUAGUGGUUUGAGCAUUGGAGACUAGGAUAGCCAAUGGCCAUGGAAACCCUCUGGGUGACUUUGAGCCACAUUCACUCAGCCCCAGAAAACCCUUGCCCAUUUGUCUGUUCUGUUUCCCUCCUCUCCGCUGGUGCAUGUUUUUCUAUUCUCUCAUUUGUUUAAUGGACCAUUCAUGGCAAAACUCUACCACUGCCCGAGUAUGAUAUCAGAUAUGAACUUAUUUACCUGAAAGUUUGUAGACCAGUGGUUUUCAACAUUUUGUAUCUUACAUUUUUCUAAUCACUGUAUCAGAGUACCUUGGUCACAUAAUGUAAAACAAAGCAAAACUAACUAACCAACAACAAAAAAACAACACCUUUAUGAGGAGGACUUUUAUAUGCUUGCAGUAUUCUGCUUUUAUAUUUCCUAUUUAUGAUACAUAACUCCUACAGCAGUAGUGAUGAGGGCAAGUACACACAAAAAUAUAAUCUCAUUAAUAUUUGGAAAUUGUAGCAAUCAUUUUAAACUAUUACCAAUCACUAUAAAAACCUUCUGUCCCAUAUAGACAACUUCCACACCAUACAACUCUUCUACAGGCCACCAACUGAGCACCAUUUUUGGACCCAGUUUACAACAUGCGUAUCAUCUGCUCAGCUAAGAAAUUGAGGGACCUUUGAAACUGUAAGAUGAAAAGUUAACUUUAAUGCUGAAAUUUAGGGAACAGAUCUGUAAGAACUAAUUAGAAAGUGAAAUUAGUCUCCCAGUGAUAUGCAGAUGUCUCCCUCAAACUGUUUAGAAUUGCCAUAAAUAUCUAUAUCUUGUGCGAAGACUUUUUGGAGGAUUGAUGCUACAUUCUUAGGUCAUAUUAAGUUUAAAAGUUACAAUCAUUUUCUGUUACAAAGGUGUUUUGUUCCAGUGAGCUUUUGAAAUCCAGGUAGUGAGACAUGCUUGUAUUCUCAAUGAUGUUUAAAGCUAAUUUUGCACAAAAAGUUGUAUUUAGCAUUUGGAAAGAAAGUGAAGUAACAAGGUUACAAUUCUGCUCUUUGUGGUAUGCUCAAUUGGUAGGGAAAGAACUGUCUGUAAACAUAGGUCAAAAUUAUAUUUUAUUUUCAGUUCAGCUCUAGGUUACAUUGGACCUUCCUUCUCCAAGGUAUCAUUUGUAAAGUUGCCAAACAGAAUUAAUGAAUGCAGUAAACAAAAUGACUCUUGCCAAACACCCAAAAACCCUAAAGUAUUGGUCAUAGACAAGAAGAUCUGUAAUGCAUAUGAGUAUGUGGUUUAGGCCCAGGUCAGUGGGAAAGAACAGCCAUAUUGUCCAAUUCAUUUUAAAAUGAAUAAACUGUGUAGCCUAUUGUGAACCUUUGAAAAAAAUAGACACUCUGAGCAAAUAUUACCUGAAACAGGCAGCUAUUAAAAACAAUGGACAUCAACUUGCCCAAGAUUCGAAGUAUUCCUCCUUCUAAUUAAACCAUAGGAAAAAUAAUUAGGUAGCAAUAAUCUUGUUAACGUGUAGCAAUAGCCAUGUAAAUUAUUACCACUGAUAUAAGAUUUAAAAAUAUAUUGUUUGUCAUUGUCUUCUCUGGCAGGAUGCUUUUGAUGGAAGCAGUUGUAUAAAAAUGCCAGAUUGUUUUGUACAAUCAAAAACAAAGUUGAGAAGGAACUUAAAUAACAAAGUAAUAGUUUAGCCCAGGAACAGGCAAGGGACGAAUGAAAGGGCAAUUUUUGCCACAGUGCCUUCCUCCCUUGGGCACCUCAUUGUCCUUGCACUUUACUUGUUGUGUAGUUUGACCAACUUGCUAAAAAUUGGUAAACGUUUUCGCAAUCCAUAUAUCAGAACAUUGCAGCUUUAUCAAAGUAAGCCAACGAAAACUGUAUAGCUUGUACGUAUAGGCCUUGAGUAAUGGCUAAAAAGCCCAAUUAACAAUGGCACAUUGCUUGAAUAACUUUUCUUCCACGUCCAGCAUCACAUUUAAAUAAGAUGUUACUUUGACCCCAAUAAAGGAGAAGUAGGCAGAUCUCAGGUUUGUGGAACUAACUUGGUGGCCAUGGUGCAACUGUUUUUAUUGUUAUUGCUUUUCCUGUUUCUUGUUCAUUUUGGUUUAUUUUAGAAACUUCAAGAUCUAGUACACUGAUUAUACAUUUCAAAUUAAAUAUUUCUGAUUCCAAUAAUUAAACCAAGGAACCUACAUUUCCUCCAGUUUAGUAGCAUAACUAAAGGUGGAGAGGGCAAUCCCUGCCAAACUCACUCUGAUACUAUGAUUGGAGCAGGUUGUAAUCCCUUUUUGGUUGUUUAGAAGAUGGAAUCUCAACAGGUAUUGUUUGUCACCAAAUAAAACCAACAUCUGCUGAAAUUUCCUCUUUCACACAAUGAUUAAAGUUACAGGUGUCUUCCCUAGUUUUCUCUAGCAACACAAUCUGAGAUCCUGAAGUCCAACAGUGGUUUGGAAGAGAAAACGAAAUACAGACCUGACACCUCUCUUUGAUACAGUCUCUGAGAACUGACAUUCCAGAAGUAGAGAGUCCUGAGACAACAAGACCUAACACCUUGCCUACCUACAGAGGCCACUUCUCCCUUAAAGUGUAUCCAACUGGUGUUCCAGUAAUCUUGCAGUAUGGAUUUCUUCUCCAGCCAAGACCCUUGCCUUGUGUUCCAAUAUUGAUCCUGUGCCUCGGACUAAUCUUGGAGUCAUGCCUCUUGUGUUACAGUCUGAUUCUGUGUAUUCCAGCCUUACCUUCUGCGUUCCAGUUUGAUACUGUGCCUUGGACUAAUCCUUGAUAUCUUGCCUGGACUAUCUUGAUACCUCUAAUGGGACUAACUUUGAUAUCCUGUUUGGACUCUGUUCUUUCAGUGACUCUUAUAGAUUCUUGCUCCAAGAUUCUCAAGUACUUUGUUCUUGUGGAUUUAAACCUCAUUUUAAUGACUUUGAACUUUGAAUUGCUAUUGCUUGCAUAUAAUCUUCAAUAAACAGCUUGCUUGCUUAUACUCUGUGGCUCAAUGUGGUUUUAAGGUGCCCUGCAGCCUAGCGGUGCAACACCUGUCAGUGUUUUUGUUGUUAUAGUGUGAAAGGUUCAAUCAAUUGUUGCUGUUGGAUUGUGUCUAUGUGUUCCGGCAAGCUUUCCAACAACACAGGAGUUAAUUACAUGCCAGCCCUGAUUGAUUGCCUGCAGGGCCAAUGGGUCAAGACUUCCAUUUCAACUGUGUGGACGGAACAUUCAUCAUGAACUGUGGAAUGUUGGGAGGUGCCUGCUAGCACUGAUAACAGACUCGGCUAACUGAGGAUGCGCCAUGCUUUGCCCUUGCCGAGGAAAGGUCCAGAGAGUGAUGGCAUUUAGUAUUGUAUAUAGUCAGUAAAUAAACGUAUAGUACUGCUGGGAUCAGCAGAUAAUUUACGACUGAGCUGUCAUUUGUUGGUGUCACUUUGCCGAUGCUUAAGUGGUCUGACUGAUGAGAAGAAGGUGAGACCUGACCCAUCAAUAAGUCAGGGCGACGAUUUAUCCCUGACAACACCCUUGUCCUUUUGCGAAGUCACGGGCUUCUUUCUAAGGCAUGAGAUUUCUCCACUGAACAUAAGCAAUGUCCAAGACAAAAUGUAGACCUGUUUCUGAUGAAGAAGCUGAUAGAGCCUUGAAAGCUUGUAUCAUGUGUUUUGUGCAGUUUGGUUGCCCAAUGAAGUUAUGACUCUUUUGAGGUAUUUGUUUCUUUUGAUGCAUGGCCAACAUGGCUAUCUCUGAAUAUUUUUCCUGGAAGAAAAAAAGUUGAUAAAGCAAUAAAUAAAAUGCAGGCAAUUAACAGAAUUUGAAGAACUAGUAAUACAGUUAAAACAGAUGAAGUAACAAAAGAACUAAUAAGUAAAAUUUAUAAAAUAAUGAUAGAAAGUGAUCCAAUACAAUUCUGAACAAAAAAAAUGGGAAAUCAAUAUUACAGAAUGGUUAAAUAUUUAGAAACAAAGAAUUAUAAAAAAUAUGACUGUGAGAAUUAAAAGAGAAUUGUUACAAAACAAUUUGUAAAUGGUAAAUGACUCCAAUAAAGUUAUUAUAAUAGAAACAAUCCAUAAAAUUGUUGGAGGUGCAGUAAGGAAACUGGAACUUAUAUACAUUUAUGAUGGACAUGUGAAAAGAUUUAAAAAUUGGGGAAAGUAUUUGUUGAAAUUGAUGUCAUACUGUCAAUUAAUCUACACAAAAAUCCAAAUAUAGCACUUCUAUUAGAUUUUAGAGAUAUAAGAUCAAAAUGGCAAAAGAAAGAAUUAAUAGUAAUUUUUGUUACUGGUCUAAGAUUGUUUAUAGCCAAAAAUUUGAAAGGAAAUUAUUAAUAUAAAAUUGAUGAUUGAUACAAAGAUGUGAGGAACAUCACACUGACUAGUGAAAUAAAAUGCAAAAAGGAAUUAAUGAAAAGAAAUGAUUUUGAGACAAUAUAGGGUGAAUUCUUGGAAUAUCUAUUUGUCAAAAAAGGAAUAAAACCAAAUUAACAUAUAUUAGCAUUUUGAGAAGAGGUCAGUAUAAGAAUUAUUAAUAUUAAGGAUGAAUAAAUGUCCCAUGGGUGGCUGGUGCACAUAACGAUUAAAUGUAUACAGUAUAUAAUUAAUUGUUUAACUGAUUUAUUGAAUGUUUUGUGUUAAUGUUAGUUGUGUGUGAUUUGUAUAAUUUAUUUAUUAUAAAUAAAUUAAAACUUUAAAAUGUUAUUUUAUUUGGCUCAUAGGAUCAUUAAAAUAGAUCCAGCAAAAAAACCAUUAAAACAAACUAAUAAAACCAUUUAACGGUUAUUGAGAAUCCUCUCUUAAGGUUUUGUUCUAAAAAUAAUUUUGUAGUUUUGCAGCUCUUGAGUAACUUUCUUCACAAGUCUAGAGAGACCAGCUUAUAUAUAGGUGGUGCCAUGUUAAAUACAUAAAUAAUAUGUACAGCCAGAACACUGGCUUUUUUCCCCAAGUCCUCCAGCUAAUAUAAAAGCUCAAAAAGGCAUAUUUUUCUGAUAGAUAAACUUUAAAUUUCUAUGCCUGCUUCUUUGUACAGACUUAAUUCUGGCAUGAUACAAAGACCUGUUGUCUAGUCAUUCUCUCCCUUCUCUGUUUGGCUGAAAAAGAAGCUACUGUACUUCAGGAGUGUGGUACUUUUCCAUGCCUUGUAUCCCAAGGCAUUCCACUUCACAGUAAGAAAUCCAUUAAAACAGAAUCCAUUUUUCUUACAAGCACACAGAACAACUCAGCAUCUGAUAACCAAUAGCUAUAAAUCUGCUCAACAAAUAAAUAAGGUAUUUGCCAUUCCAGCAUGUUUUGCUCUCAUACCCUUUGACCUCUCUCUGGAAGUGGUGCUAAGUGCUAUAUUUCCUUCCUGGAGACUAUUAACAGUCUAACUUGGAAUAGAUGUUGUUCUUGUGCCAUGAAUUGUAUAACCAUUGUCUAUAAUAAUUGUCCAAAAGAUCUACUCUGCAUUACCUCCAUAACUAUAUCACUUUUACAGCGAUCUCAUUUUAUGCCAGAUAUGAAAUCAUGUUUAAAGGCUGAGCAUUUAGUUUCUACCAGAAUGAGCACCAUUGUUCCCUUUCUACUCAGUUAUUAUAUCAAAUACUCAAGCACUGAGACAAUGCAAUAUUAUUCACAAACAUGGUAUAAAGUCAAAGAUUAUCUGAAAUUCUAUAAAUAAGAUACAGGAUUGCAGAGUGAUUGCAGAUGUAUAAAUAAAAUGGGUGAGGGGCUAUAAGAUGUGCAGUCAUACAUUGCGAUCCUAAAUGUGUUUACUAAGUUACUGCAACUUCUUAUUUACUCCACAAAUAAUGAAAGAUCUUAACCCCAGAGUUGAAAUAUUAGCUGAUGAAGAAGUCAGCAUCCACGUAGGUUAAUCAUUCAUAUAUAUUGUGCAACUAAGUGAUGGAUAAUCAGUGAAAGUGUUCUGGUUUUUGCAGGCAAACUAACCAACUUUUUAAAAGGUAAUUUUAUGGUUUUGUCGAGCUGCAAAAGGGCUAGGGGUUGCAUGAAGUUUACCAGACAAACUUCCUUCACUCCUGCUUUACAGCUAAGGUAAUUGAACUGAAGAAGACAAGGGAUGUCAUCAUAUUGAGGUCUACAUGGUGGACGAAAGCAGGGAGAUUCGCCAUGCAUCGUGGCAAAUCCAGCAGGCAGCGUCGAAAACCUGUCGGCCCAAGCCCCACAUCACCUACAUCGCUCACAUAACCCCUUACCUGGAAGGGGAAGCAUUGCCAUCCAGUCCGCCCCGCCCCCUUUCAUUCUUUUCAAUGAGAACAUGGGAAGGCUUGUUAUGUGCCUGAUAAACAUUUAGCUCAACAUAAAGGUAGCUCUUUAUGACGAGAAGAUGGUUUAGGCAGCACUAAAGAUUCUUUAGGUCCUAUGAGGCUGUGCAGACCUGUAAAAAAGGAGAUGGGCUCCAAAUAAAUCAAGAUGGAAAUAGAUUGCUUUUAUGAAAUAUGAAAAAACUGACAAAGCUGACAAAGUAUCCCAGUUACAACCAAGAAGUAAAAUGUCCCAAUAUGUGAGGUGACUGUGUCUCAAAACCACUGCUCAUAAAAUUGACUACAAUGCUAUCAAAUUUAUUUCUAUCUUGCAUGGGCCUACUCAAAACCACAUUAAGAGAGGCUCAGAUAUCAUGUAUACCACAGGUCUAAACAGGAUGUGAAAUGUCCAAGUGCCAUGAAUAGUGUGAAAUAAGCUAUUAGAGGUUUAUAACUUAAUAAUUUUAUUUUUAUACCCCACCUCUAUCUCCCAAAGGGGACUCAGGGCGGCUUACAUGGGGUCAAGCCAGAAUAAAAACAAUAGCAAUAUAAAACACAACAAUAGACAAGAGACAUGCACAAUUAUAAAAAUUUAAACAUUACCCAAUAAAAAACAAAUGACAAGAACUAAUAAAAACAUGGAUUAAAAUGGAGAGGUUGUAAAAGUAGACUGGGUAAGGUGCACCAUAUAAAUAUUAUAAACUUGAGGAGACUGAUAAAGUGCUGCAAAUUCUUGGAAGUGCAAAUUGAGAUGGGAGUAGACCCUGUGUCUAUAUCAAGUUGACAAAGGUAAAAAAAAGUGCAAACUGGUACAAGGAUGGUCACAGGUACAGGAUUGUUAUGGGUAUGAACAAUCUUUAUCCAAAGGCCUGAGUGAAGAGCCAGAUUUUCAAGCUCUUUCUGAAUGCUACCAGGGUGGGGGCUUUAAAAAGGUUUCUUUUAAAACUGGAAGUCUUCCUGAAAUCAAGUGAACUUACCAGAGAAGAAAUGCACAAAAUGCACAAAAUGCUUUUGAGGAAUAUAUUGCUAAUAGCUCCACAAUCAACAAUAAAUAAUUCUUUAAAUACACCACAAGCACAAAUACUGCCAAUGAGACAGUUAAAUCUUUGAAUAUCAAUGGAUUUAAAGAAAUUAUGAAGACACUGUUGAGAAACUCUUGAAUUCUUUUCAUCUGUCUUUAUUGGUGAAAAUAAAGGGGAAAUCCAUGUGCACUGAUGAAAAAUGUUAAGUGGGGACAGGAAAGUGCAAGGCAAAUAGCCAUGAUAAGACAGAGGUUUCAAGAUCUCAUUGCCAAAUUACAAGCAUACAGAUCAUCAGGUCCAGAUGACAUUUACCCAAUAGUUCUUAAAGAGCACAAAUGUGAAAUUCCUUAUCUUCUACUUAGAUAAAUCACAUCUCCCCUGAUUCAGAGCAUGAUUAACAUAACACCUAUUUGUUUGUUUAUUAAAGAAAUCCAGGAAGCCAAAGGCCUUUUAGCUUAAAGUUUUGUUAAGUGAAAAGUGCUGUUAAGGAUAAGAUUUUCAAGUGAACGAAAGAGCAAUUCCUUUUCAUCAAUUCCUAAUAUUCAGACUAGUUAUGUAACAUCUUAAGUAUCAGAGCAGUGUGUUUUGUAUAUCAGUUCUGAAGAUUUCAAGAUGUCUUUCUAGUGGGCUUCACAUAGGCAAUAUAUUAUAUACUAUGUGUACAAAAGAUUGGACUGGAUAGACUGUUCAUCUGAUCUAACAUGCUCAUCUUAUGUCCUUAUGUCCACAAAGUAUAGUGGUGUCACAUUAAGCCUACUAAUGUUAGGAAAAAUAUAGAAAUCAUUGAGUUGCAAACAUUAAAGCAGUUGUGUGGGGGAGGGUGACAAUAUCAUUGGGAACAGUAGUUUAUCAAGGCCCAGAGUGAACAGCCAAAAGGCUAAAGAGAGGUUUGGACAAAUACAACAAGUACCAAGCAGCAAGAGGGCAAUAAUCUCAAAUUAACAGCUAAGGCAAAUGUCCCACAAGCUUAGAUUUCUUUAAUGCCCAGAGCAUGGGAAAUAAACAAGAUGAGCUGGAACUCUUAGCAUGACAAACAGUUACACAUAACUGAAACCUGGUGGGACAAGUCCUAUAAUUGGAAUGUAGCACUGAGAGGGAUAACUUAUUUCAUAGAAAUAGACUAAACAGGAGACGGGUAGAGUAGCAUUACAUGUCAAAAAUAUGUACACCUAUGAAGAGAUGCAAGACUUCAAUCCUGCAAACCAGAUUGAGAGCAUCUGGAUAAGAAUUAAGGGAAGAAGGACUGAAAAAGAUGUAGUUGUGGGGGUCAACUACAGAUAUCCAAGCAAGACAGAAGAACUGGAUGAAGCCUUCCUUGACCAGAUGACCAAACAUGAAGAAAAGAUAUAGUAGUAAUGGGGGAUUUUAACUACUCUGAUAUUUGUUAGAAAGCAAACUUUGCCAAGCGUACAAAAUUCAACAAGUUCCUCACUUGCCUUGCAAACAAUUUUAUUGUCCAGAAGAUAGAAGAGGUAAUAAGGGGAUCUGCUAUUCUGGAUCUGAUCCUAACCAACACAGAGGAUCUGGAUAAAAGAGAAAAUACCCAAGAUAAAAUAGAAUACGUAGGGAUCCUCCACAGACAUGUAAGUUCUAAACUCAUUUAAUUCAUAUUAUUUUGAGUUUGUAUAUAUAUUGUAUAUAAGACAGUGUUGGGGUAUUUUUAACAUGUCUAUUUUCAGUAUGGUUUAUAUUAUUAUGGUCCUAUUAAAAAUACUAGAAAGUUUUUUCUCUUUAUUUUUAUAAUAAGAAAUGAGAAAGCAGAGCAAUACUACAACCUGCCCCAAGUAAACAAAGGAAACCUAAAGAUACGACAUAUAUUACCUGAGGAAGAUCCAUCGAAACUGGACAUAUACCCAGGAAACCAGUCGUAAUCGACCAUAUUGUAUUGACCACACCAUCUCCGGGACCCACAACUGACCAUAUUAUCUCUGGUACUCACCAGUGAAUGUUUCACCAUUAAGGAAGAAUGAUCGACUAUACAAACUCUGGAAUCUACCAGUGAGCUCCCUCCAUCAUGGAGUAAAUCCACUUUGUUAUCAUUUAUACGAGGAAUUUAUACUGUAUUUUAUUUACCCUGAAUGAUUUCACCUUGAACAAUACUACUACAGAUCUUGAGAAUAUUAUCAAGAUAACGAUUGGACUGUUUCGAUAAUAAACUUUUUUUUUCGUGUCAGGAGUGACUUGAGUAACUGCAAGUCGCUUAUGGUGUGAGAGAAUUGGCCGUCUGCAAGCACGUUGCCCAGGGGACGCCCGGAUGUUUUGAUGUUUUUCCAUCCUUGUGGGAGGCUUCUCUCAUGUCCCUGCAUGGAGCUGGAGCUGAUAGAGGGAGGUCAUCCCCGCUCUUCCCGGGUUGGAUUUGAACCUGGCAGCCUUCAGGUCAGCAACCCAACCUUCAAGUCACAAGGCUUUAAUCCACUAUGCCACCAGGGGCUCCAACAAAUAUAUGAGUUUAUACUGGAUUUAAGACUAAAGACUGAAUUGGCUUUAAUCCGAAUUCAAAUCCAAUGUGAUGUUAACACUAUUCGUUAUUACUAUAUUGUAUAUAUACAGUCUGAGGGUUGAAUAAAUCCACCUGGACACUAUAUAUACAGGUUACCUAUACUGUAUUAUACUUUGCUUGUAUCGAUAGCAUUAUUAAGUUUAAGAUUAUUUGGAUUAACGACAGGAAUGGAGUUAAGGUCAAUUACCGGGUUAAUUUAAACCCAAUUCAGACCCGAGAUGGUUUAAAACAGUAGUUAUUCAUCUAUACAGUAUUUUAUAUAAUAGUUGAUGUUACAAACGCAACAUAUAAGUGAUUACAUUACAAUAGAAGUGUAUAACAACAACAUAACUUACUUUGUAUUAUAUACCAUACUUUUCCUUUUUUUUUUUUUUUUUGCUGUGUAUAAUAGACAUCUGUGUGCUUAGCUUUGAUCUUUAAAGCCCUAUGUGGUUUGUGUCCAGGUUACCUAAAGGAUCCCCUUCUUCCGUACAACCCACCCCUCACACUGAAGUUCUCUGGGGGGCAUCUUUCUCAGCCUGCCUGAACCUGACUGGUGAUCGUCACCCAGAGGACCUUUCCAUCAGCCAUCCCAAGACUUUGGAGCAACCUGUCAGAACUCCAACAGCUAAAUCAGCUGUCAGAAUUUUAAAACCAUUUAAAGACCUAUCCCUUCUGAUAGGCCUAUCCAACUGGUUUUAAGCAUGAAUUUUAAACUCAAGUCUUGUGUUUAAUCUCUGUUCCAUGUAUUUUAAUACGUAUUUUAUGGAAAUACAUUUUAUUAUGUACAUUUAUAGAAAUACACUUUAAUAUGUAUAUAUAUAGAAUUUUAACAAUAUUUAUAUGUUUUAAUGAUGUUGUAGCCUGCCACGAGCCACGAAGAGACUUGGUAAGAAAUAAAAUUGUUUUUGUUGUUGUUGUUGUUGUUGUUGUUGUUGUUGUUGUUGUUGUUAUUUGAGCCAACAUAAAUGAGAAAAGAUAAUGAAAGUGAUAGAUUUAACUCUAUUUUGAUAAGACAUACAUAAGCAGAAACUUCAUGAGAUAGCAUAGUAGACUGAAGUAUGUCAGUCUCCAAUAUCCAUUCCUUCAUUUUAAGAAAAAUGCACAUUUGAGGGGGUAACAUUUCCACAACACAUUUAAAAAAAUAAAAUAAAUCGGUAAUAACGCUUGACAGGAUUUGAAACAAGAUAAUUUUACCAUCUUGAAAAUGUUAUUUGGACAGUGAAAUGUUUUCCCCCUUUCACACAUUUAUUUGAUUGAAUAUUUUUCAUAAUAUUGUGCUGUCUCCCUCCAAACUAAAGAGUUUUCCAGAUUAGACUUAACUAACUAUAUGUGCAUGUAUAUAAAGUCAACUAUCUAAAAGAGCUACACUGGUAAAUGUGGACUUCAGGGUAAUCAAUUGCAUUAAUCAUUAGAAUAGGAAUUUCAAAUGUUAUCUUUGCUAAGAUCACAGUAGGAUCUAUAUGUGUUCUUAGAAAAUUGUAAAACACCGUAAUAAUCCAUUCUUCAUGUCUCUUGGUAAAGGCUGGAUCCAAUGUUAAAUUUGGGGCUGUGUGUUUCUGGUACAUUUGCAAAUGUUCAGAAGCCAAGGAAUCAUUCAUAUAGAUUAAACUACAGUCAAAUGCUAACAUGUGAACCCUUUGUCCAUUGAGCAAGUUUGUUUAGCAUUUUCUUCUUUUUUUAUCUAAAAUACUUAAUAAUGCAUUAGAUGCCCAAAGUUUCAAAAGAAUAUAUUUGAGCUUUCCUCUUUGGCUUCAUCUGUGGCUCCUGAUGGGCAAUGCAUCAUCCAAACACAUUACAGAAAUUAGGCCUUGCAUUCCAUUAUGCAUUCAGACAUUUAGAGCAGAAUGAUAAACCUGUCUGAACCUCUGGAGGUUGGCUUUAUAAAUCAAUGCUCUCAGUAAAAAGAUUGCAUUCCCAUUUGAUAGCAUUGGACUUCCACAUCUUCCUUCUCUCUGGCCUUUGAAAAAGUUUCAUUUGAGAUAGAAAGUUCAACUGUUUUAAUGAGGAAAGGUGGAGCUAAACCAACAAGAAAGGGAUAUGAGGUGAACAUUUUCGUCUCUCUGCUCAGGUUGCCUGAUUCAAUAUGAGCAAGAGAGAGAUGUAGGUCAGGAAUACUAUAAUUGUAGGGUCUAUUGUAGCUGUCAUUGGAAGGGAUUUGAAUCAGAAAAAGAAUGGCAAGAAUCAGGUCUGUAUUUCACUUAAUUCCUCGCAUUUGCAACUUUAAGUUCUUUUUGUUCUAUUCCUAUAAAAGAAAGUUAACAGGAAAUGCACAUGCAUUCUUGGAGACUUUUUUCUAAUAUGCUCAUGUGUGCUUUCAGUUUCUUAAUAGACACAUACAACCAAUUCCUUCAGAUAUAAUGCAUUUUUGUGGAUUUCUGCAUUGUUGUAUGCCAUAUUAGGCAGGAGAACGGCAUCAUCCCAUGCAGAAAGGUGGAAAUAUCAAAAUGUGCCGUGUUCUUUAAAAAUGUAUCAUAUUUAUUGUAUUUUUAAAUACAUUGAAAGUGUAUGUUAUAAAUUGUUUUAAUAUGGUUAACAGUUUGAUUCUGUUUUAAUGUUGAUUCUUGUGUGUUUAUUAAUUAUAUUGUACUCAUUUUAAUUUGUAAAUUUCUUUGAUGAUUUCAUCACAUGCAGAAAAUCAGCAUUUCUACACAUUUAAGAAAUGGAAACCCAUGGUGCUCUUCCCACAACACAAGCUUCAACUGUAGGGUUGAGGUAUUUUGUUAUUUCUAAAGUAUUGGUUUAUCCAAUGAUUCCUAAGCCAGUUAGCAAUUUACUUAUUUUUAAAUUCCCCGCAUAAAGACAGGCAAAAUGGCCAAUUUCCCUAUGUGAUGUCAAUUCCUGUUGCCUGCUUAUAAAUAAAACAAUGAUGCUGUGUGUGGGUAGAGCCAACAUGCACAUUUCCACAGAAUGCCAAUGCAGACACUUGGGGAAAGAUCAGGGUUAAUUUAAAACCACUUCCUAUGAUCCAGAGUGAUUUUUUUU